RNAcentral lists this ribosomal RNA (2902 nucleotides) under Escherichia coli 5-172-05_S4_C3. Its description in RNAcentral is "bacterial LSU rRNA". It matches the Rfam family "Bacterial large subunit ribosomal RNA". The record is from RNAcentral. Lineage: Bacteria; Pseudomonadati; Pseudomonadota; Gammaproteobacteria; Enterobacterales; Enterobacteriaceae.
UAAGCGACUAAGCGUACACGGUGGAUGCCCUGGCAGUCAGAGGCGAUGAAGGACGUGCUAAUCUGCGAUAAGCGUCGGUAAGGUGAUAUGAACCGUUAUAACCGGCGAUUUCCGAAUGGGGAAACCCAGUGUGUUUCGACACACUAUCAUUAACUGAAUCCAUAGGUUAAUGAGGCGAACCGGGGGAACUGAAACAUCUAAGUACCCCGAGGAAAAGAAAUCAACCGAGAUUCCCCCAGUAGCGGCGAGCGAACGGGGAGCAGCCCAGAGCCUGAAUCAGUGUGUGUGUUAGUGGAAGCGUCUGGAAAGGCGCGCGAUACAGGGUGACAGCCCCGUACACAAAAAUGCACAUGCUGUGAGCUCGAUGAGUAGGGCGGGACACGUGGUAUCCUGUCUGAAUAUGGGGGGACCAUCCUCCAAGGCUAAAUACUCCUGACUGACCGAUAGUGAACCAGUACCGUGAGGGAAAGGCGAAAAGAACCCCGGCGAGGGGAGUGAAAAAGAACCUGAAACCGUGUACGUACAAGCAGUGGGAGCACGCUUAGGCGUGUGACUGCGUACCUUUUGUAUAAUGGGUCAGCGACUUAUAUUCUGUAGCAAGGUUAACCGAAUAGGGGAGCCGAAGGGAAACCGAGUCUUAACUGGGCGUUAAGUUGCAGGGUAUAGACCCGAAACCCGGUGAUCUAGCCAUGGGCAGGUUGAAGGUUGGGUAACACUAACUGGAGGACCGAACCGACUAAUGUUGAAAAAUUAGCGGAUGACUUGUGGCUGGGGGUGAAAGGCCAAUCAAACCGGGAGAUAGCUGGUUCUCCCCGAAAGCUAUUUAGGUAGCGCCUCGUGAAUUCAUCUCCGGGGGUAGAGCACUGUUUCGGCAAGGGGGUCAUCCCGACUUACCAACCCGAUGCAAACUGCGAAUACCGGAGAAUGUUAUCACGGGAGACACACGGCGGGUGCUAACGUCCGUCGUGAAGAGGGAAACAACCCAGACCGCCAGCUAAGGUCCCAAAGUCAUGGUUAAGUGGGAAACGAUGUGGGAAGGCCCAGACAGCCAGGAUGUUGGCUUAGAAGCAGCCAUCAUUUAAAGAAAGCGUAAUAGCUCACUGGUCGAGUCGGCCUGCGCGGAAGAUGUAACGGGGCUAAACCAUGCACCGAAGCUGCGGCAGCGACGCUUAUGCGUUGUUGGGUAGGGGAGCGUUCUGUAAGCCUGCGAAGGUGUGCUGUGAGGCAUGCUGGAGGUAUCAGAAGUGCGAAUGCUGACAUAAGUAACGAUAAAGCGGGUGAAAAGCCCGCUCGCCGGAAGACCAAGGGUUCCUGUCCAACGUUAAUCGGGGCAGGGUGAGUCGACCCCUAAGGCGAGGCCGAAAGGCGUAGUCGAUGGGAAACAGGUUAAUAUUCCUGUACUUGGUGUUACUGCGAAGGGGGGACGGAGAAGGCUAUGUUGGCCGGGCGACGGUUGUCCCGGUUUAAGCGUGUAGGCUGGUUUUCCAGGCAAAUCCGGAAAAUCAAGGCUGAGGCGUGAUGACGAGGCACUACGGUGCUGAAGCAACAAAUGCCCUGCUUCCAGGAAAAGCCUCUAAGCAUCAGGUAACAUCAAAUCGUACCCCAAACCGACACAGGUGGUCAGGUAGAGAAUACCAAGGCGCUUGAGAGAACUCGGGUGAAGGAACUAGGCAAAAUGGUGCCGUAACUUCGGGAGAAGGCACGCUGAUAUGUAGGUGAGGUCCCUCGCGGAUGGAGCUGAAAUCAGUCGAAGAUACCAGCUGGCUGCAACUGUUUAUUAAAAACACAGCACUGUGCAAACACGAAAGUGGACGUAUACGGUGUGACGCCUGCCCGGUGCCGGAAGGUUAAUUGAUGGGGUUAGCCGCAAGGCGAAGCUCUUGAUCGAAGCCCCGGUAAACGGCGGCCGUAACUAUAACGGUCCUAAGGUAGCGAAAUUCCUUGUCGGGUAAGUUCCGACCUGCACGAAUGGCGUAAUGAUGGCCAGGCUGUCUCCACCCGAGACUCAGUGAAAUUGAACUCGCUGUGAAGAUGCAGUGUACCCGCGGCAAGACGGAAAGACCCCGUGAACCUUUACUAUAGCUUGACACUGAACAUUGAGCCUUGAUGUGUAGGAUAGGUGGGAGGCUUAGAAGUGUGGACGCCAGUCUGCAUGGAGCCGACCUUGAAAUACCACCCUUUAAUGUUUGAUGUUCUAACGUUGACCCGUAAUCCGGGUUGCGGACAGUGUCUGGUGGGUAGUUUGACUGGGGCGGUCUCCUCCUAAAGAGUAACGGAGGAGCACGAAGGUUGGCUAAUCCUGGUCGGACAUCAGGAGGUUAGUGCAAUGGCAUAAGCCAGCUUGACUGCGAGCGUGACGGCGCGAGCAGGUGCGAAAGCAGGUCAUAGUGAUCCGGUGGUUCUGAAUGGAAGGGCCAUCGCUCAACGGAUAAAAGGUACUCCGGGGAUAACAGGCUGAUACCGCCCAAGAGUUCAUAUCGACGGCGGUGUUUGGCACCUCGAUGUCGGCUCAUCACAUCCUGGGGCUGAAGUAGGUCCCAAGGGUAUGGCUGUUCGCCAUUUAAAGUGGUACGCGAGCUGGGUUUAGAACGUCGUGAGACAGUUCGGUCCCUAUCUGCCGUGGGCGCUGGAGAACUGAGGGGGGCUGCUCCUAGUACGAGAGGACCGGAGUGGACGCAUCACUGGUGUUCGGGUUGUCAUGCCAAUGGCACUGCCCGGUAGCUAAAUGCGGAAGAGAUAAGUGCUGAAAGCAUCUAAGCACGAAACUUGCCCCGAGAUGAGUUCUCCCUGACCCUUUAAGGGUCCUGAAGGAACGUUGAAGACGACGACGUUGAUAGGCCGGGUGUGUAAGCGCAGCGAUGCGUUGAGCUAACCGGUACUAAUGAACCGUGAGGCUUAACCU